This 253-nucleotide ribosomal RNA is filed under the name uncultured bacterium. RNAcentral's name for it is "partial 16S ribosomal RNA". It matches the Rfam family "Bacterial small subunit ribosomal RNA", at positions 524 to 776 of the family's 1533-position model. The record is from RNAcentral.
GACGAACCGUGCGAACGUUGUUCGGAUUCACUGGGCUUAAAGGGCGCGUAGGCGGGCGGUCUAGUCGGGGGUGAAAUCUUUCGGCCCAACCGGAAGAGGGCCUCCGAUACUGGCCGCCUCGAGGGAGGUAGGGGCAGGUGGAACUUCCGGUGGAGCGGUGAAAUGCGUAGAUAUCGGAAGGAACGCCGGUGGCGAAAGCGACCUGCUGGACCUCUUCUGACGCUGAGGCGCGAAAGCCAGGGGAGCAAACGGG